Molecule: ribosomal RNA, 253 nt
Filed under: uncultured bacterium
Lineage: Bacteria
Description: partial 16S ribosomal RNA
Rfam family: Bacterial small subunit ribosomal RNA
Source: RNAcentral
UACGGAGGAUCCAAGCGUUAUCCGGAAUCAUUGGGUUUAAAGGGUCCGUAGGCGGUUUUGUAAGUCAGUGGUGAAAGCCCAUCGCUCAACGGUGGAACGGCCAUUGAUACUGCAAGACUUGAAUUAUUAGGAAGUAACUAGAAUAUGUAGUGUAGCGGUGAAAUGCUUAGAUAUUACAUGGAAUACCAAUUGCGAAGGCAGGUUACUACUAGUGGAUUGACGCUGAUGGACGAAAGCGUGGGGAGCAAACAGG